AAUGGAGAGUUUGAUCCUGGCUCAGGACGAACGCUGGCGGCGUGCUUAACACAUGCAAGUCAAGGAGAACGUUCCCUUCGGGGAAUUAUUAAACUGGCGAACGGGUGAGUAACUCGUAGGCAACCUGCCUUGGAGAUUGGGAUAACCCCGGGAAACCGGGACUAAUACCGAAUAAUGCAGCGACUUCUUCGGAAGAUGCUGUUAAAGCGGGCUUCGGCUCGCACUUCAAGAUGGGCCUGCGCCCGAUUAGCUAGUUGGUAAGGUAACGGCUUACCAAGGCUAUGAUCGGUAGCUGGUCUGAGAGGAUGAUCAGCCACACUGGGAUUGAGAUACGGCCCAGACUCCUACGGGAGGCAGCAGUGGGGAAUUUUGCGCAAUGGACGAAAGUCUGACGCAGCAACGCCGCGUGAUUGAUGAAGCUU
This 422-nucleotide ribosomal RNA is filed under the name Fidelibacterota bacterium. RNAcentral describes it as "bacterial SSU rRNA". It matches the Rfam family "Bacterial small subunit ribosomal RNA", at positions 1 to 416 of the family's 1533-position model. Lineage: Bacteria; Pseudomonadati; Fidelibacterota. The record is from RNAcentral.